RNAcentral lists this long non-coding RNA (273 nucleotides) under Hordeum vulgare. RNAcentral's name for it is "long non-coding RNA (HVUL_LNC017775)". Lineage: Eukaryota; Viridiplantae; Streptophyta; Magnoliopsida; Poales; Poaceae. The record is from RNAcentral.
ACGAAUUAACUUUCAAAUUGUGAAGAUAAAUAAACAUGACAACAAUUGGACAAUGUUCAGUCCUCUUUUGUGUUGAUCAUUUUGUAUAUGAGUAUUCAAUUACUGUCUAAAAAAUAAUCUAGUCAUCCUGGAAUAUGUUUUAUCUGCACAUCUAAUGUAGCUCCCAAAACAAUCUAAACAAACGUGAAAGUUGACGCUAAAAAAUUCAGCAUCACCUAUAAAAAUGGCCUCUUGAGCACCAUGAAGUCCACCGUCUAGAUGCACAUGCACCCU